GAUGAGGGGUUAAAAACAGGACAGAAAAUAGACUAUUACUUCUAAAUUAUGAUGUUUUUUUAAUGUAAAAAUCUUUACAUUCAGAGAACAGUACAAAAAAACAAAACAAAAACACAGGCAGUUUAUGACCCCUUUAAGAGCUGGGGUUCUCUGUUUCUCACCUUGCCUGUAACAGAGCACACACACGCAGAGAAUACUGCAAAACCCACACAUGACACAAGCACAGACCAAGAGCGUCCUGCAGCCCACACUAUCUGACGAACGCUGCUGUUCAGCAUCUGAAACACAAAACCAAACCAGUGGAAAGAGCAGCAGUUUCACUGGAACAGAUGAGAGUCACAGAAAACAGAGGUUACAGUCAAACCAUAUCCUUCAGAAACUAAUCCUUCUCAAUAAAUAGGUCUUCUGUGGUUUUUCAGUGUUAGAAAUACAGUGAAGAAAGGUUUAGUGCACUAAUAAUCUUAAUGACUUGUCAACAAAUAAAGCAUUCACAAUUCAGCACUAUAUUCUGACAGCUGCUGCACCUUGAUGAAUUGGUAUUGUACUUUUUAUUUUUUAUUAAUAUGAAGUAGAAUUGCUAAGUAUAAUUAGGAAAUGUAUUUCCCAUUUAGCUGGAAGUCUUAAUACGAUGGCACUAUUCCAACAGACUGCUUUGAUGUUAUGCACUAUAUCUGAACCAUGCUGAUGAAGGAAGAGGUCUGUUCUGGAGAAGUGAUCCACUAAAACACAGAGCACCUUUACAGCUCCCUGCUCUGACAUCACAGCUCUCUGUGCUUCUGCCGUUUUGAAGUAUAACAUCAUUAAUAUAAUAUAAAAUCAUGAUGUUUAGGCCGAUCUGAAGGGCACUAACCUGCAAACGUGAGUCGGACAGCAGUCCCAAAGCGCAUCGUCUUUGCACUGACACCAAGAGCGCAGUAGUACAGCCCCAGAUCCGACUCUCUGACCCCAGCGAUCACCAGGCUGACCGAGUCAAGCCUCCUGUCUGCUUCCAGCCCAAAGUGACUUCCAUUCUCAUUAUAGUUUCUCUUCUUCUUCUUUUCUAUGGAUGUCAUCAAGAGUAGAUCUUAGUGUCUGAUUUGUGGAGAGAAGCAUUUUCAUGACAACAGAAACACCAUAUUAUAGUUUUUCCUUAAACAAAUUUAUAGAAAAUAUAAUUGCUCUCAAAAACAAUUAACACAGCCAAGUAGUAGACACACAUCUCAAAUUUACUGCAUAUUAAACCCAGAUUGAAAAUACACAUUAAAAACAACACACUAUUGAAAAAACAUACUUAUCAUAAAGUAAUUCAAUGAGGACCUCUACAGCCCUGAAAGACAGCGGAGACCAGGACUAGAGCCCCAGAGACAGAUCCCCUGUAAAGUCCUUGUCUCAGACGACCACCGGGACAAGACCACAGGAAACAGAUGAUUCUUCUGCACAAUCUGACUUUGCUGCAGCCUGGAAUUGAACUGCUGGUUUCGUCUGGUCAGAGGAGAACUGGCCCCCCGACUGAGCC
Molecule: long non-coding RNA, 1495 nt
Organism: Cyprinus carpio carpio
Lineage: Eukaryota; Metazoa; Chordata; Actinopteri; Cypriniformes; Cyprinidae
Source: Ensembl